RNAcentral lists this ribosomal RNA (446 nucleotides) under uncultured bacterium. RNAcentral describes it as "partial 16S ribosomal RNA". It matches the Rfam family "Bacterial small subunit ribosomal RNA", at positions 338 to 795 of the family's 1533-position model. The record is from RNAcentral.
CCUACGGGAGGCAGCAGUCGAGAAUCAUUCACAAUGGGGGAAACCCUGAUGGUGCGACGCCGCGUGGGGGAAUGAAGGUCUUCGGAUUGUAAACCCCUGUCAUGUGGGAGCAAAUUAAAAAGAUAGUACCACAAGAGGAAGAGACUGCUAACUCUGUGCCAGCAGCCGCGGUAAUACAGAGGUCUCAAGCGUUGUUCGGAAUCACUGGGCGUAAGGCGUGCGUAGGCUGUUUCGUAAGUCGUGUGUGAAAGGCGCGGGCUCAACCCGCGGACGGCACAUGAUACUGCGAGACUAGAGUAAUGGAGGGGGAACCGGAAUUCUCGGUGUAGCAGUGAAAUGCGUAGAUAUCGAGAGGAACACUCGUGGCGAAGGCGGGUUCCUGGACAUUAACUGACGCUGAGGCACGAAGGCCAGGGGAGCGAAAGGGAUUAGAUACCCUAGUAGUC